RNAcentral lists this ribosomal RNA (494 nucleotides) under uncultured bacterium. RNAcentral's name for it is "partial 16S ribosomal RNA". It matches the Rfam family "Bacterial small subunit ribosomal RNA", at positions 28 to 506 of the family's 1533-position model. The record is from RNAcentral.
GACGAACGCUGGCGGCGUGCCUAAUACAUGCAAGUAGAACGCUGAAGGAGGAGCUUGCUUCUCUGGAUGAGUUGCGAACGGGUGAGUAACGCGUAGGUAACCUGCCUGGUAGCGGGGGAUAACUAUUGGAAACGAUAGCUAAUACCGCAUAAGAUUGACUAUUGCAUGAUAGUCAGUUAAAAGGUGCAAUUGCAUCACUACCAGAUGGACCUGCGUUGUAUUAGCUAGUUGGUGGGGUAACGGCUCACCAAGGCGACGAUACAUAGCCGACCUGAGAGGGGGGUCGGCCAACCCGGGACUGAGACCGGGCCCAACCCCCUACGGGGGGCAACAGUAGGGAAUCUUGGGCAAUGGACGGAAGUCUGACCGAGCAACGCCGCGGGAGUGAAGAAGGUUUUCGGAUCGUAAAGCUCUUUUGUAAGAGAAGAACGAGUGGGGGAGUGGAAAGUUCACACUGUGACGGUAUCGUACCAGAAAGGGACGGCUAACUACGU